Molecule: long non-coding RNA, 1646 nt
Organism: Amphimedon queenslandica
Lineage: Eukaryota; Metazoa; Porifera; Demospongiae; Haplosclerida; Niphatidae
Exons: 5
Source: RefSeq, a predicted model, not a curated record
GCAGAAUGUAAUCCUUAAAGAUUGGAUGUGUUAUCGAAGACCCCUAUAGCUACAUAAUUUAAGAUUAGUACAUGCACACACAUUAAGUGUAUAUACUCAGACUAAUAUUUAUUAAUUCUUUUUUUCCAAUAGCCUUUGUUAUCACUAGCUAGAGGAGAAUUUUGAACCUUUGCUUGACCUGGAAGAUGAUGCUUCUCUUUCCUCUGGUUAUAUUUCUCUCUUCAUGUAGCCUUUAAUUUAUAUUAUUUUGUUAUAAUAAAUGAUAUAAUUGAGCUUGAGGCUGAUUAUUUAUUUUUAUUUUUGCUAGGCAAUACAAAUGCAUGUUUUCAUGUUGUGUAGAAAGUUUGAGUGGACUCCCAUCAAAAUUUGAAUUGAUUUUAAAUGUUGUAAAAAGCACUACAUCACACAGUGGCGAAUCUAUGGGGGCCAGGGCCGUGGGGGCAAUGACCCACAAAUUUUUUUGAAGUAAUGUAAACUUUGGUUUGCCUAUGUAAACUGUGAAGCAGCUGCAGUACUGAACUAUGUAAACAAUUAAUUUUUAAACCACCAUACAAUAGAGCUCAUUUUAACAGGCUUUAGUCUUUAUAAUAAUUUUUACUUCCCUAAAAGUUUUGCACAAAGCUUAAUUGACCACGCCCCCUAAUUACCCCUCCCAUCUCAUAAUUGCCCCCCAAAAAUUAAGUCUUAGAUCCGCCCCUGCUACAUCACUUAGUACACCUUAAAAUUCAUUUUUCGUCUGAUUGCGCAAUACCUGAGGUCAAUGGUGCAAUAGCUAGUCUCCACGUGGUGUAACCUUUUCAUGACCAAUCAGAUUCAUCCACACAAGGGCUCUUCCCGCCAAAACCCAGUGGCUAUAUAGCGAGCCACAUUUCCUCUUCUACUCAUUUCUGGCGUUUCUUUGGGCGGGAAAGGAAGGACUCUCUCUGCUACAGUUAUCAGCAGUGGCCAGGUCCUUCAGUCUUUCUGUAAAAGGUUAUGGCGGGUUGUGACCUCUUCUUCAAUGGCUGCUAUGGUUAACAGCAGUUAGUUUUUAGUCCCUGCCUUCUCUAAAAGGUCACAGGAGAUUCUGACCUCUUUCUGCUGUGGUUAGCAGUCUUAGGCUAACGCCCAGCCAUGAACUUACCUGAUGUUUGAGUUUCCCGCCAUUUUUAUCAAGCCACGCCCACAAAAGGAUUAAAUGGGCCAGACUCUUCUAAUGAGAAAGACUCGACAAAUGAAGAGGAAACAAAGCUGUAAUUGUCAAGUUGGAUCAAGGUUUUGUUGAAGUCCUUUUAUUAUCGUGAAACUGAAUGUGUCUUGGACUGGAAGCAUGUCACGGAUUGAUGGAGUCGUUGCUAUGGAUUCUCAUGGAUCAAUCAGCAAGUGCUGCAAGUCAAUAGUUGUACUGCUAGCCGGGCUGGCCGACCAGACCUGGCUAGUAACGCACUCAUACAAUCCUUGCAUGUCAUUAUAUGUAUGUCCCCAUGUGCAUGCGUAUAAUACCAUUAGGGAGGGGCCGGUUACACGAAACAUCACGCGUAUGUAUUAAUGUAAAGAACCCUGUAGUGUAGGUACAUUCCCCGUUAUUACCGACUGGCCUGAUACGCUUGUAUAGCUUGUCCUGUCAUACACUAGGAAAUGUGUGCUUAGUAAUAUUUGUUGGCCUU